RNAcentral lists this ribosomal RNA (475 nucleotides) under uncultured bacterium. RNAcentral's name for it is "SSU rRNA". It matches the Rfam family "Bacterial small subunit ribosomal RNA", at positions 26 to 523 of the family's 1533-position model. The record is from RNAcentral.
AGGACGAACGCUGGCGGCGUGCCUAACACAUGCAAGUCGAACGGGGGUAGCAAUACCCUAGUGGCGAACGGGUGCGUAACACGUGAAGAACUUGUCCAUCGGCGGGGGAUAGCCGGCCCAACGGCCGGGUAAUACCGCGUACGCUUGUCGAGUGGCAUCACUUGACAAGGAAAGCAGCAAUGCACCGAUGGAGAGCUUCGCGGCCUAUCAGCUUGUUGGCGGGGUAAUGGCCCACCAAGGCAACGACGGGUAGCUGGUCUGAGAGGAUGAUCAGCCACAUUGGGACUGAGACACGGCCCAGACUCCUACGGGAGGCAGCAGUGGGGAAUAUUGCGCAAUGGGCGAAAGCCUGACGCAGCGACGCCGCGUGUGGGAUGACGGCCUUCGGGUUGUAACCACUGUCGCGAGGGACGAAAAAAUGACGGUACCUCGAAAGGAAGACGACCGGCUAACUCUGUGCCAGCAGCCGCGGUAA